RNAcentral lists this unclassified non-coding RNA (253 nucleotides) under uncultured Planctomycetales bacterium. RNAcentral describes it as "contains 16S-23S intergenic spacer region". It matches the Rfam family "Bacterial small subunit ribosomal RNA", at positions 524 to 776 of the family's 1533-position model. Lineage: Bacteria; Pseudomonadati; Planctomycetota; Planctomycetia; Planctomycetales. The record is from RNAcentral.
GACGAACCGAGCGAACGUUAUUCGGAAUCACUGGGCUUAAAGGGUGCGUAGGCGGCUAUCCAGGUCUGAUGUGAAAUCUCACGGCUCAACCGUGAAAUUGCGCUGGAAACCGGAUGGCUUGAGUAUGCUAGGGGUGUGUGGAACUUCCGGUGGAGCGGUGAAAUGUGUUGAUAUCGGAAGGAACGCCGGUGGCGAAAGCGACACACUGGGGCAUAACUGACGCUGAGGCACGAAAGCUAGGGUAGCGAACGGG